This 1344-nucleotide long non-coding RNA is filed under the name Oryza sativa (Asian cultivated rice). Its description in RNAcentral is "long non-coding RNA (OSAT_LNC000679)". Lineage: Eukaryota; Viridiplantae; Streptophyta; Magnoliopsida; Poales; Poaceae. The record is from RNAcentral.
CACCACCGCAGCAAUGGCCCUCGCGCCGCCUCCUUCCCAUCACCAUCACCAUCACCAUGUCAAGCAGCUGCAGCUCCCUCCGUCUGUCUCCGUCUCCGUGCCCCUCCGCUCCGGUUUCCUUGGCCGCGCACUGCCUGCUGCUGCCCACCCACAGCCGCUGCUCGCCGCCGAGAGCCGCCGCAGCAGCGCCGUGUCCGUGCGGAUGUCGUGGGACGGGCCCCUCUCCUCGGUCCGCCUCAUUAUGCAGGGCCGCAACGUCAAGGUUCUCCUCUCCUACUGCUACCACUAGUUUGCUUCCCUGGAAUUUCCUUCGUUUCAUAUUAUAAGGUUUUCUAGCAUUACUCAUAUUCACAUAUAUAUAUAUAUGAUAAUAUUCUAGAUUCAUUAUCAUAUAUAUGAUUAUAGGUAAUGCUAGAAAAUCUUAUAACCUGAAACAGAGGGAGUAUAUAUAAUUCGGUAAUGGAACUAGAGUAUUUGUUUUAUUAAUUGGACCUUUAUGAAAUACUAGUAGAAUUCAACGAAACUACAUUCUUCUUUAUUGGUUAUAUUAGUAGUAAUUUGCUUCACUAGAAUUCUAUUUUAUACUAGAGAGAUUAAAAAUUAUUACAAAACUAACUGUAUACCCGUUGCAACGGAAUAGUAAUAUGGACCUAUUACUUAUUACUACCUCCAUAUUUUAAUGUAUGACGCCGUUCACUUUUUGUCCAACGUUUGACCAUUCGUCUUAUUAAAAAAAAUUAUGUAUCUAUUAUUUAUUUUAUUAUGACUUGAUUCGUCAUCAAAUAUUUUUUAAGCAUGACAUAAACAUUUUCAUAUUUGCAAAAAAAAAAAACGAAUGGUCAAAUGUUAGUCGAAAAGUCAAUGGUGUCAUACAUUAAAAUACGGAGGGAUUAUAUGGGAUAGCUACAGUAGCAGAGUCAUGAUAAAGUAGUAAUGUGUUGGGAGGAGCGGUAGAGCGUUGUGUGGAAAAAUAAAGAUGGGAAUGGAAUGGAAUGAAAAGCGUACGUGCGUGGCGUGGCGGUGCAGCUGAAUGAGAAGGUGAAGGAGCACAUCGAGGAGAAGGCGGGGAGAGCAGUGGCGAAGCACAGCCAGCUUGUGAAGGAGGUGGACGUGCGCCUCUCCGCCCGCGGUGGCGAGCUCAGCCGAGGUCCCAAGAUUUGCAGGUGCGAGAUCACUCUCUUCACCAAGCGCCACGGCGUCAUCCGCGCCGAGGAGGACGCCGAGUCCACCUACGCCAGCAUCGACCUCGCCUCCUCCAUCAUCAAGAGGAAGCUCAGGAAGAUCAAGGAGAAGGAGACCGACGUCCGCCACCUCAAGGGGACCAAGCCCCCCGUCUCCGACUGG